RNAcentral lists this ribosomal RNA (274 nucleotides) under uncultured bacterium. RNAcentral describes it as "partial 16S ribosomal RNA". It matches the Rfam family "Bacterial small subunit ribosomal RNA", at positions 523 to 796 of the family's 1533-position model. The record is from RNAcentral.
CUACGGAGGGUGCGAGCGUUAAUCGGAAUUACUGGGCGUAAAGGGUCCGCAGGUGGUUUUGUAAGUCAGAUGUGAAAUCCCCGGGCUUAACCUGGGAACUGCGUUUGAAACUGCAAGGCUAGAGUGUGACAGAGGGGGGUGGAAUUCCGCGUGUAGCAGUGAAAUGCGUAGAGAUGUGGAGGAACACCGAUGGCGAAGGCAGCCCCCUGGGUCAGCACUGACGCUCAGGCACGAAAGCAUGGGGAGCAAACAGAAUUAGAAACCCCGGUAGUCC